Molecule: long non-coding RNA, 712 nt
Filed under: Coturnix japonica (Japanese quail)
Lineage: Eukaryota; Metazoa; Chordata; Aves; Galliformes; Phasianidae
Description: lncRNA (ENSCJPG00005008624.1)
Source: RNAcentral
GAGACUUUUUGAGAAGCCUAAAUUAGUAGAACUGAGAUAUGUGAACUGCCUUCCAUCCAAUUCAAGUGUCAGAAUUCUGCAACAGAAUUGUCUCCAGAAGGGGAAUGUAGCCUUAUAUCUGGAGAGUCCAAGGAUUACUACUACACUCUUGCUAUAUGAGUAGCCUGUCCACACUGCUAUAUUGUGUUUGCUGUAAGGUGCUACUGACCCAGCAGCUGCAACACACUACACCAGUCCAAAAGGGAGAUAGAAGCUGCUGCACUUUUUCCCUGGAGAAAAAUGAUGGUUACUCAAAGAGAGUCCAGAAGUCAUCUUUGGUGUCUGGAUGCUGUCUCUGCUUCAGAGUCUCUCUGCCACAGAAUGAGCAUCCAUGCAGUCCCCUUCCUCAGCUGCUGCCUGUGACAUGAAGGAGAACAUGUGGAUGACACAAAGCAUCCAAAAGCCUUGACCCAACAGGCUGAUCCACUGCUAACAUGGAGCAGUGUAGCUGCAUAUUUGUGCGCUCUGAGGAGUUGGCCCCAAAGGUGACAAACUCACUUAGGAAUUAGUUGUGUAUUCUGUGACUGAUAAUACCAGUUUAAACAGGAAUGUGUAGUCUAGCAUAGCAGUUUAAAGUUGUAUAAACUGACUGUGACAUUGGUGCCUCUCCCAUAAGAAUUACAAGCUCUGUUCAUACAAAUUAGGGUUCUUAGAAGAAUAAGGUGAGGAAGCU